UUAAAAGCCAAAUUCAAUUUCAAAACCGCCUUUUUGGUUUCAGUUUUUAUCUCCUCCUCAAAAAUGCCCUGCCUCACAGUUCACAGAGAGCCGGCCCUCACUCACUCACACUGCUCUCCUACCUGUGGCUGCCAUCGAUCUUCUGGGUCGCACUCUAGCCAGUCUCCGACCUCGCAACUCAGGCGACCUCCACCCUCUCUCGUGCUUUGCGCUCGCAGGUUCGUUGGUUCAGACUUCAUCGUUCUCUGCUAUCUCCUCCUCAAAGAGCUCUGCAAUUACGCUAAGAUAUGCUUUGCAGUUUCUUCAGCAUAGUUAGAUAUAUCUGCUAGAUCAAGCAUUGAUAUAUUUUUACUAUAUUGCAAUUAUUCAUCAUUUAUUGUAAUUUUGUUGAGAAAUUAAGCUCUGGUAGUCAAUAAUGUUAAACCAUGCAUAUAUACAUAUCAUUUUUUACCUUACAGAUUUUAAAAAUGGACCACUUUCAUUUCUUCUAAAAGUAUGUAUACAAUAAGACUUAUAUAUAUACAUGAAUAUAUGUGUAUAAAUUAGUAUAAUCUAUGAAAUCUGUACUAUCACGGAUUACAAAUUUUUAUCAUUAGCUAGCAUUAUAUUUUCUGAAUGCUUAAUUUUCAUGUAAUCAAUAGAUGAUUUGAAAUAAUAAGAUUUUAAAUCAAAUUGUAGUUUAAUUUUUUGGGUGAAUAUGCACGCAGAAUGAAAGUUCCAUACACACUAGAGGUUCUAUAUCUAUGAGUGAACAUGCACGCAAAAUGGUGGGACUAGUGUGCUCCAAAUUCCAACGCAGCCAUGACGGAAAUCACUCGGAAAGCUUGACUGCUUACGUGGCACAACAUGACAGCGCCCUAGUUGGUUGGUUCCAACAUCCAAACGGCUGACGUCACGAAUUACAUGCGGUUUUAUCUUGCCACGUGGCGGCAUCGUAUCUGACAUAGGAUGACGUCAUAUGUUGCUCCUCCGUCAACGCUUCGGCGUGUGUCACUUGCACUGCACCUCACUAAUGUUAUUGCCGUUGGGGUUAUGGCUCUCUUAUGAACACAAUUUUGUACUCUUCCUUUUAAUUCACCAACAAAGUUAGAUUUGUUAGUUAAAGUGCCAAAAUUAUAUGCAUCACAAAAAAUUGUUAGAUAGCAAUGUAGCAUAGGAGUUAUCUAUUGUCUGUCUCUACUUUUCAAUUUGAAAACGAUUUCCUUCUUAAAAUAAAAAAUUAAGAUUUACUUCUCAUCAAUAUUAUAACUUUUAUCAAUAUAUCAAAUAUGAACUUUAUUAUAUUAUUCAAAAAUAUA
Arachis ipaensis is the source of this 1298-nucleotide non-coding RNA. Lineage: Eukaryota; Viridiplantae; Streptophyta; Magnoliopsida; Fabales; Fabaceae. The record is from RefSeq and is a predicted model, not a curated record.